AUCGAACAACGGCGGUUCAUAACACUGCUGACACUGCACCGACAUGAACACAGCUGCCGUGUUCCUGUUUCUUCUUCCUGUGGCAUUUGCAGGGUGGAGAGAAGACGAUGCGAACCAGGUACCGAGGUGCGACCUGCCGCAAAAUCCUUGCGGAAUGAGUGGCAUUGGGAGUAGAGACAGGUGGUUUUAUGCCAAAGGCCUCGGCAGGUGCAAAGAAUCCGGAGAUUGCAAUGAGUAUCAGAUACAUGGAUAUUCAAAUUCCCUUUCAUGCAACACAGCACACCGACAUGUUUGCUCACCUACUCGACCUACAACCACCACCGCCACAACAACCACCACGACAACCACGCCUUCAACACCAGCUGUGACAGCAGAUUGCGGAGCUCCGGUAACGAAGCAAGGAAACGAGACAACCAAUCAGGAAGAAAAGAAGGAGAGGACGAAGAAGAAAAACAAGAAGAAGGACAAGAAGAAGAAGCCAAAGAAAGCUACGAAAGUGGAUGAAUAAGUGUGCCCAAAAGCCUAAUAAAACCUAAAUACCUUUCAGGAUUAUAAAAAGGAG
This is a long non-coding RNA of Ornithodoros turicata, 562 nucleotides long. RefSeq lists it as uncharacterized. The record is from RefSeq and is a predicted model, not a curated record. NCBI's taxonomy places the organism in Eukaryota, Metazoa, Arthropoda, Arachnida, Ixodida, Argasidae. The transcript is spliced from 3 exons.